UACGUAGGGUGCGAGCGUUGUCCGGAAUUAUUGGGCUUAAAGGGCGCGUAGGCGGUUUGUCGCGUCGGGAGUGAAAACGCCGUGCUUAACACGGCGCUUGCUUUCGAUACGGGCAGACUAGAGGUAUGCAGGGGAGAACGGAAUUCCUGGUGUAGCGGUGAAAUGCGCAGAUAUCAGGAGGAACACCGGUGGCGAAGGCGGUUCUCUGGGCAUUACCUGACGCUGAGGAGCGAAAGUGUGGGGAGCGAACAGG
This 253-nucleotide ribosomal RNA is filed under the name uncultured bacterium. RNAcentral's name for it is "partial 16S ribosomal RNA". It matches the Rfam family "Bacterial small subunit ribosomal RNA", at positions 524 to 776 of the family's 1533-position model. The record is from RNAcentral.